Molecule: ribosomal RNA, 276 nt
Filed under: uncultured bacterium
Lineage: Bacteria
Description: partial 16S ribosomal RNA
Rfam family: Bacterial small subunit ribosomal RNA
Source: RNAcentral
GAUUAACGCUAGCGGCAGGCCUAAUACAUGCAAGUUGUACGGGAUUAUUGGUAGCAAUACUGAUAUGAGAGUAGCGCACGGGUGCGUAACACGUAUGCAACCUGCCUUUAACUGGGGAAUAGCCUUCCGAAAGGAAGAUUAAUACCGCAUAACAUUGCGAAACGACAUCGUUUUGCAAUUAAACCUACGGGGGUUANAGAUGGGCAUGCGUCCGAUUAGCUAGUUGGCGGGGUAAAGCCCACCAAGGCAACGAUCGGUAGGGGUCUGAGAGGAUGA